AACUUGUAACAAUGUAUCUCGUGGCUCUCGCAUCGAUUAAGAACGCAGCGAAAUGCGAUAAGUAAUGUGAAUUGCAGAAUUCAGUGAAUCAUCGAACCUUUGAACGCACCUUGCGCCCCUUGGCAUUCCGAGGGGCACACCCGUUUGAGUGUCGUGAAAUUCUCAAGACCUCUUCCUUUGCCGGACAGGAUUUUGGACUUGGAGGCCUUUUGCUGGGUUCACCUCGAAGCGAGCUCCUCCCAAAUGGAUUAGUGGGGUCUGCUUGGCCGAUCCUUGACGUGAUAAGAUGCUUCUACGUCUCGGGUUUUGGCACUGUGCCUCUGCUUCUAACCGUCUCAUUGACAACGAUGGUGUUCCGGUCACCGCCGAUUCGUCGGUGGGAGGCUUGACCCACAAAACGACCUUGACCUCAAAUCGGGUGAGACUACCCGCUGAACUUAAGCAUAUCAAUAAGCGGAGGCU
RNAcentral lists this unclassified non-coding RNA (462 nucleotides) under uncultured Russula. RNAcentral describes it as "sequence contains ITS2". The stretch from base 1 to 154 matches the Rfam family "5.8S ribosomal RNA". The record is from RNAcentral. Lineage: Eukaryota; Fungi; Basidiomycota; Agaricomycetes; Russulales; Russulaceae.